RNAcentral lists this ribosomal RNA (292 nucleotides) under uncultured bacterium. RNAcentral's name for it is "partial 16S ribosomal RNA". It matches the Rfam family "Bacterial small subunit ribosomal RNA", at positions 505 to 796 of the family's 1533-position model. The record is from RNAcentral.
GUGCCAGCAGCCGCGGUAAUACGUAGGGUGCAAGCGUUGUCCGGAAUUACUGGGCGUAAAGAGCUCGUAGGCGGUUUGUCGCGUCGUCUGUGAAAACUCGAGGCUCAACCUCGAGCUUGCAGGCGAUACGGGCAGACUUGAGUACUGCAGGGGAGACUGGAAUUCCUGGUGUAGCGGUGAAAUGCGCAGAUAUCAGGAGGAACACCGGUGGCGAAGGCGGGUCUCUGGGCAGUAACUGACGCUGAGGAGCGAAAGCGUGGGGAGCGAACAGGAUUAGAUACCCUAGUAGUCC